AGUGAACGCUGGCGGCGUGCUUAACACAUGCAAGUCGAACGAGAACGGGUUAUAGCUUGCUAUAAUUGUCAGCUAAGUGGCGCACGGGUGAGUAAUGUAUAGGUAAUAUGCCUCUUACUAAGGGAUAACAAAUGGAAACGUUUGCUAAUACCUUAUACUCCUUAUUAACAGAAGUUAAUAAGGGAAAGAUUUAUUGGUAAGAGAUUAGCCUGUAUUGUAUCAGUUAGUUGGUGGGGUAAUGGCUUACCAAGACUAUGACACAUAACUGGUUUGAGAGGAUGAUCAGUCACACUGGAACUGAGACACGGGCCAGACUCCUACGGGAGGCAUCAGUGGGGAAUAUUGCACAAUGGACGAAAGUCUGAUGCAGCAACGCCGCGUGGAGGAUGACACAUUUCGGUGCGUAAACUCCUUUUAUAUGAGAAGAUAAUGACGGUAUUAUAUGAAUAAGCACCGGCUAACUCCGUGCCAGCCGCCGCAGUAA
This 484-nucleotide ribosomal RNA is filed under the name uncultured bacterium. RNAcentral describes it as "partial 16S ribosomal RNA". It matches the Rfam family "Bacterial small subunit ribosomal RNA", at positions 29 to 523 of the family's 1533-position model. The record is from RNAcentral.